AUUGAACGCUGGCGGCAGGCCUAACACAUGCCAGUCGAGCGGAUGAAGGGAGCUUGCUCCUGGAUUCAGCGGCGGACGGGUGGGUAAUGCCUAGGAAUCUGCCUGGUAGUGGGGGAUAACGUCCGGAAACGGGCGCUAAUACCGCAUACGUCCUGAGGGAGAAAGUGGGGGAUCUUCGGACCUCACGCUAUCAGAUGAGCCUAGGUGGGAUUAGCAAGUUGGUGGGGUAAAGGCCUACCAAGGCGACGAUCCGUAACUGGUCUGAGAGGAUGAUCAGUCAAACGGGAACUGAGACACGGUCCAGACUCCUACGGGAGGCAGCAGUGGGGAAUAUUGGACAAUGGGCGAAAGCCUGAUCCAGCCAUGCCGCGUGUGUGAAGAAGGUCUUCGGAUUGUAAAGCACUUUAAGUUGGGAGGAAGGGCAGUAAGUUAAUACCUUGCUGUUUUGACGUUACCAACAGAAUAAGCACCGGCUAACUUCGUG
RNAcentral lists this ribosomal RNA (484 nucleotides) under uncultured bacterium. Its description in RNAcentral is "partial 16S ribosomal RNA". It matches the Rfam family "Bacterial small subunit ribosomal RNA", at positions 30 to 507 of the family's 1533-position model. The record is from RNAcentral.